GACGAACGAUGGCGGCGUGCUUAACACAUGCAAGUCGAACGGAGAGGCGAGCGGGUGCGUAAUACGUGGGUCACCUGCCCUCCUUUUUGGGGUAAGCCUUGGAAACGGGGUGUCAUCCCGAAUAACAGGGGAUGGGCUCGGGGCCUAUCAGCUUGUUGGUGGGGUGGUGGCCUACCAAGGCGGUGACGGGUAGCCGGCCUGCGAGGGUGAACGGCCAAAGUGGGACUGAGAUCCGGCCCAGACUCCUACGGGAGGCAGCAGUGGGGGAUAUUGCACGAGGGGCGAAAGCCUGAUGCAGCGAUGCAGCGUGUGUGAAGAAGGCCCUAGGGUUGUAAAGCACUUUCAGUCGGGAGGCGUUACCGACAGAAGAAGCACCGGCUAACUCCGUGCCAGCCGCCGCGGUAAUAC
RNAcentral lists this ribosomal RNA (408 nucleotides) under uncultured bacterium. RNAcentral describes it as "partial 16S ribosomal RNA". It matches the Rfam family "Bacterial small subunit ribosomal RNA", at positions 28 to 526 of the family's 1533-position model. The record is from RNAcentral.